Molecule: ribosomal RNA, 253 nt
Filed under: uncultured bacterium
Lineage: Bacteria
Description: partial 16S ribosomal RNA
Rfam family: Bacterial small subunit ribosomal RNA
Source: RNAcentral
UACGUAGGGUGCGAGCGUUGUCCGGAAUUACUGGGCGUAAAGAGCUCGUAGGUGGUUUGUCGCGUUGUUCGUGAAAUCCCACGGCUUAACUGUGGGCGUGCGGGCGAUACGGGCAGACUGGAGUACUGCAGGGGAGACUGGAAUUCCUGGUGUAGCGGUGGAAUGCGCAGAUAUCAGGAGGAACACCGGUGGCGAAGGCGGGUCUCUGGGCAGUAGCUGACACUGAGGCGCGACAGCGUGGGGAGCAAACAGG